RNAcentral lists this long non-coding RNA (471 nucleotides) under Gossypium raimondii (Peruvian cotton). RNAcentral's name for it is "long non-coding RNA (GRAI_LNC008265)". Lineage: Eukaryota; Viridiplantae; Streptophyta; Magnoliopsida; Malvales; Malvaceae. The record is from RNAcentral.
UUGUAACGCCCCAAAAUAUGAAUUCUUAUUUUGUUGAGAUAUGUCAUAAUUAAGUGUUUGUCCCAGUGAUUAAGAGUUUGAGUAUGUGUUUGAGGUCAGGUCUUCGAGUCUUAGAGUGAGCAAAGUGAGAAGGUUUUGAUAUAUUUUUGUUUGUUUGUUCAAGUUGGCCUAUUAGUAGUUGGGUUUGAAUUAAAUUAGGUCUUUGAGUAAUCUGAUAAGAAUUGAGUAGUUGGGUUGGUUUUUGUUUUGUUUUAUUUUAUUUUUAAUACUUUAUUUAUUUUCUUUUUUAAAAAAUCCCAACAAAUCCCCUAACUCCCUUUUUAGUUUUUCACGUCUCAUUUGUUUCCAACUUUUUUUCAUUUGGUUUUGUACCCAAAUUAUCUUACGUUUAUUCCUUUUCUAAAACCAUAUUCACGUCGUCAUCUACUUUCCAUGUUUUAGUGUUUUGUUUCUUUAUUUUUUGUUCUUUUU